ACUUAAGGGAACGCAGCCAUCAGCAGUGCCUGCACCAUGACACAGGCAGCACCUGCUCCUUCAGCUUCAUUUGCCUAUUCUCUCUCGAAUCCUUUCUCCGAAGCGUUCACCUGCUCCUCUUCUCCUACCACCUCCUGGCACAACUAGACUGGCCGUGACUCAUUUGAAAUACUCUACAGAGAUGCUACCUGGCACUAGGGAUGCACUUCUGUGCCUAAGCUGCAAUCAACUGCCUUCCAAAAGGAUGUGUUUUGAUUAAUGAGGUGCAUAACAUCUGAAACUGAUGCGGCUUCUUCAACACAGCCCUUAAUGUUCCCAGAGAAUGACAGAGCAAUAGAGGACGUGCUCAAGGAAUCAAGCUGUUUGUCCUCUUUCAGCUAUACUAUUCUAGCCUGCUCUCGGAAAAUACCCACACUCUAUUUCUUGGUCUUUCUGGGAUGAUUCUCUAAGUGCUGCCUUAUUCGAUGACACAAAUAAGAUUCUCUUAGAGCCCUGAGGUGGGGAGAGAACACUGCAGAGCAUCCAAGCAGCAGAAUGCUCCUUCAUCACUUCUGCAGCUAAGAAAGAAAAUGAUAAGGUGCAAAGACUGAGUCAGGCUGCCUGGCACACUGCUGCACGAUGACAGAAGCAUGCAGACAUCCUGGUGCUCAGACCUCUGACUAGCACUCCCCAACCCACUAAUGUCCAGUUUAUAUAUGGGGCAGAUGAUUCCUAAGAUACAGAUAAGUUUUUUAAAUUAUUGUUUGGGGACUACUCCUGUUACCUUUGAAACUGUCUGUAAAACUCUUUAGUAUCACACUUGCUUGAAGCAAUUUUUCAGCACAUCAUUUUAGCAAUUAUUAUAGUCCCAUUUUGAAUAAAAAAAUGCUUAACCUGAAAUGAGAACGUUAGUGCUGUCUCGAAUCUAGGCCUCAUCAAAUACAUAACCCAAAACAAGAAUGUGAAUUCUCAUGUAGCUCUGUCAGCAAGGGCAGGUUCCUAAACACUUCUAACACUUGGCUCCAGGAGUCACAGGUACCCCAACUCAGAGGAAGAUUCAAAGUCCUUAAAAUGUAAUGACAAUUUGGUAUCCAGAGAAUUUCAAAGUAAUUAUAUUUUAUUUGAGAGUCUUCCAAGAAUAAAGUGCAGGAGACAAGGAGAAUUAUCCUUGUCUAAAUGGUAUGGAACUAUCACGGCCAUUAUUUAUUAUUGACAUUAUGGCAAUGCUUUCCACGUUAGCAAAUGGUCCUUUUAGGCGGGUUUUCAGAACACUUCAGAAAAGCUGUGCCUGUUGCUGCGUUAGGACUGUUCUAUCAUUGGCUGCACAGGACAUUCAAAGGGGGUAUAGGGAACCCACCUGCCAGGGAAGGGGAAAACACUUUCUGAGGGAAAUGAUCUCUUUUUUUAACAUUUUUGUCAAUACUGCUCCAGACCUGUCAUAGAUACUAAGGGAGUAGAUGUAGCAGGGAGAAUGCAG
Molecule: long non-coding RNA, 1456 nt
Filed under: Gallus gallus (chicken)
Lineage: Eukaryota; Metazoa; Chordata; Aves; Galliformes; Phasianidae
Description: lncRNA (ENSGALG00010024998.1)
Source: RNAcentral